Small nucleolar RNA from Mangifera indica (mango), 93 nucleotides. The record is from RefSeq and is a predicted model, not a curated record. Lineage: Eukaryota; Viridiplantae; Streptophyta; Magnoliopsida; Sapindales; Anacardiaceae.
GAUUGGCUAUGAGGAUUAAAAUUCAGCUUUAAAUGCCAGUUCUGCUUCAGAAAAUUCUUGAUUGAUAAAGCUGUUGUAUAUUCUGAGCCUAUA